Long non-coding RNA from Choloepus didactylus (southern two-toed sloth), 668 nucleotides. RefSeq lists it as uncharacterized. Lineage: Eukaryota; Metazoa; Chordata; Mammalia; Pilosa; Megalonychidae. The record is from RefSeq and is a predicted model, not a curated record. The transcript has 3 exons.
GUUUGAGGGUCGUCCGAAGUAAUAAUUGUUUCCGCCUCCCCAACUCCGUCAUGGUUAUCCAGGUUUAUUUAAGUAAUGUUGAUUCGUCUCUUUAUUGAAGCGUAAUUCACAUAUAGUGAAAUCAGACGUACAGAUUUCAGCUGUCCAUUUCGAUGAGUUUUGAUAAAUGGACCCAACAGUCAAAACAAAACACUGGAUUGAAUCCCGCUUGUUGCUGGAAUUUAGCUGCAGAGGAAGCCAGCUGGUGGCAGCAGAAGAGACAAGAUAGAGAGUACAAGAUGGUAGCAGAGACGGCCUGAAUUACAGAAGAUCAAGUUUGCUCCCUCUGAUGAAGCAAGCUGCUAUGUUGUGAGGUGCUAUGUUGUGAGGUGCUAUGUUGAGAGGCCCACAUGGCAAGGUAUUGAUGGCCAACAGCCAGAGAGGAACUGAAGCUCUUAGACCAACAGCCUGCAAGAGACUGAAUCCUGCCAACACCAAGUGAGCAUGGAAGCACACCCUUCCCCAGUGGAGCCUUGAGAUGAUUGCAGCGCUAGCUGACACCGUGGCUACAGCCUGUGAGAGACCCUGAGCCAGAAGACCCCACUAAGCUGCACCUAGAUUCCUGAUGCGCAGAAACAGUAAGAUAACAAAUGUUGUUUUAGGCCACUAAAUUUGGGGGUAAUUUCUUA